RNAcentral lists this ribosomal RNA (466 nucleotides) under uncultured bacterium. Its description in RNAcentral is "bacterial SSU rRNA". It matches the Rfam family "Bacterial small subunit ribosomal RNA", at positions 32 to 525 of the family's 1533-position model. The record is from RNAcentral.
AUCAACGCUGGCGGCGCGCUUAACACAUGCAAGUCGCACGAGAAAGCUGGAGCAAUCCGGUGAGUAAAGUGGCGCACGGGUGAGUAACACGUGGGUAAUCUACCUUCUUGUGGGGAAUAACCCUGGGAAACCGGGGCUAAUACCGCAUAAGCCCGAAAGGGGAAGCAGCAAUGCGCAGGAAGAGGAGCCCGCGGCCGAUUAGCUAGUUGGUAGGGUAAAGGCCUACCAAGGCAUUGAUCGGUAGCCGGCCUGAGAGGGCACACGGCCACACUGGCACUGAAACACGGGCCAGACUCCUACGGGAGGCAGCAGUGGGGAAUCUUGCACAAUGGGGGAAACCCUGAUGCAGCGACGCCGCGUGAGCGAUGAAGCCCUUCGGGGUGUAAAGCUCUUUCGGGCAGGAACGAUAAUGACGGUACCUGCAGAAGAAGUUGCGGCUAACUACGUGCCAGCAGCCGCGGUAAUU